GAUGAACGCUGGCGGCGUGCCUAAUACAUGCAAGUCGAGCGAACGGACGAGAAGCUUGCUUCUCUGAUGUUAGCGGCGGACGGGUGAGUAACACGUGGAUAACCUACCUAUAAGACUGGGAUAACUUCGGGAAACCGGAGCUAAUACCGGAUAAUAUUUUGAACCGCAUGGUUCAAAAGUGAAAGACGGUCUUGCUGUCACUUAUAGAUGGAUCCGCGCUGCAUUAGCUAGUUGGUAAGGUAACGGCUUACCAAGGCAACGAUGCAUAGCCGACCUGAGAGGGUGAUCGGCCACACUGGAACUGAGACACGGUCCAGACUCCUACGGGAGGCAGCAGUAGGGACUCUUCCGCAAUGGGCGAAAGCCUGACGGAGCAACGCCGCGUGAGUGAUGAAGGUCUUCGGAUCGUAAAACUCUGUUAUUAGGGAAGAACAUAUGUGUAAGUACCUGUGCACAUCUUGACGGUACCUAAUCAGAAAGCCACGGCUAACUACGUG
RNAcentral lists this ribosomal RNA (497 nucleotides) under uncultured bacterium. RNAcentral describes it as "partial 16S ribosomal RNA". It matches the Rfam family "Bacterial small subunit ribosomal RNA", at positions 28 to 507 of the family's 1533-position model. The record is from RNAcentral.